GUGGGGAAUUUUGGACAAUGGGCGAAAGCCUGAUCCAGCCAUGCCGCGUGCAGGAUGAAGGCCUUCGGGUUGUAAACUGCUUUUGUACGGAACGAAAAGACUCCUUCUAAUAAAGGGGGUCCAUGACGAUACCGUAAGAAUAAGCACCGGCUAACUACGUGCCAGCAGCCGCGGUAAUACGUAGGGUGCAAGCGUUAAUCGGAAUUACUGGGCGUAAAGCGUGCGCAGGCGGUUAUAUAAGACAGAUGUGAAAUCCCCGGGCUCAACCUGGGAACUGCAUUUGUGACUGUAUAGCUAGAGUACGGUAGAGGGGGAUGGAAUUCCGCGUGUAGCAGUGAAAUGCGUAGAUAUGCGGAGGAACACCGAUGGCGAAGGCAAUCCCCUGGACCUGUACUGACGCUCAUGCACGAAAGCGUGGGGAGCAAACAGGAUUAGAUACCCCAGUAGUCC
RNAcentral lists this ribosomal RNA (450 nucleotides) under uncultured bacterium. RNAcentral describes it as "bacterial SSU rRNA". It matches the Rfam family "Bacterial small subunit ribosomal RNA", at positions 354 to 796 of the family's 1533-position model. The record is from RNAcentral.